This 484-nucleotide ribosomal RNA is filed under the name uncultured bacterium. RNAcentral's name for it is "partial 16S ribosomal RNA". It matches the Rfam family "Bacterial small subunit ribosomal RNA", at positions 30 to 507 of the family's 1533-position model. The record is from RNAcentral.
AUUGAACGCUGGCGGCAUGCCUAACACAUGCAAGUCGAGCGGAUGAAGGGAGCUUGCUCCUGGAUUCAGCGGCGGACGGGUGAGUAAUGCCUAGGAAUCUGCCUGGUAGUUGGGGAUAACGUCCGGAAACGGGCGCUAAUACCGCAUACGUCCUGAGGUAGAAAGUGGGGGAUCUUCGUACCUCACGCUAUCAGAUGAGCCUAGGUCGGAUUAGCUAGUUGGUGGGGUAAAGGCCUACGAAGGCGACGAUCCGUAACUGGUCUGAGAGGAUGAUCAGUCACACUGGAACUGAGACACGGUCCAGACUCCUACGGGAGGCAGCAGUGGGGAAUAUUAGACAAUGGGCGAAAGCCUGAUCCAGACAUGCCGCGUGUGUGAAGAAGGUCUUCGGAUUGUAAAGCACUUUAAGUUGGGAGGAAGGGCAGUAAGUUAAUACCUUGCUGUUUUGACGUUACCAACAGAAUAAGCACCGGCUAACUUCGUG